Molecule: unclassified non-coding RNA, 923 nt
Filed under: Ixodes scapularis (black-legged tick)
Lineage: Eukaryota; Metazoa; Arthropoda; Arachnida; Ixodida; Ixodidae
Description: uncharacterized LOC115320485, transcript variant X6
Source: RNAcentral
GGAUUUUGCGACUUAUAAGUGGCGAGGCACCACGCGAGCAAAAAUGAACAGCCCUGGAGGUUAUGGGCACUGCUCAAUUGGCUCAUUCCUCGGUGCUUCUCGAAGGCCUGGUCAAGGAGGAGUUGCUCAGUGAACUACUAGUUUGAGUUCCCUGAGAUGGACACCACUGACAUCACCUACAGUGCCGAGGUACAGGCUUAAUGGCAGAUAUCAAUAGGAGAUGAUGGUACGCGUCACGUCUGUUUGGUUGGACAGCCACCAAGUUGACUUGGAUGUCAGCGCCUGUUGUCAUCAGAACCUGGUUCUUGUGCUGCCACAUCAUUUUUGGUGGUGGCGCUGUCGUCACCUCCCAACGCUUGCGCUCCCCGAGUUCCCAUUCAAGAUGGUGCUGCCACGGACUUUGGCUCGUGGGGGUGCCGUCGCUACUGACAAAGCCUGUGCUCCCCGUCGUCCCUGUUGAAAUGGUGGCUGGAACUUGGAGGGGGUUCGCUGCCACAGCCGGAUCCAGUGUUACAUUCCUGUGGCUUUUUGGUUGUUUCCCAAUUAUUGAAGGGAGUUGCAGGCUUAUCAUGGGCGACACAGUGCUUUGCUCGCACCUUCACGGAGUACAGCAAUGUGGGGAAGCAAGUCGAGGACAGCCUCUCUCGAUUUCUGUCCCGGGGGCGCUAUGCUCUUCCAGGACCAAGCAAGAAACACAGUGCAGAGAGGCAAGGAGGUAAAAUAAAGGGAGCAAAGCAAAAGGAACAGGGUAUGUGUUCCUAGUAGUCAUGCCGGCCACCUUGAGUGGCAGUGUUUGGGCAUAAGAACCAAGAAGGAAAUUCAUGAAGCCUGUAAUUCUAACACAUAUAUACUUUUGGACGUUCGAUAGGACCGGUUUCCGUGAACAUAACAGCCGAGAAAACAUCUCACACCUUACAGACAUG